RNAcentral lists this ribosomal RNA (363 nucleotides) under Triticum aestivum (bread wheat). RNAcentral's name for it is "partial small subunit ribosomal RNA". The record is from RNAcentral. Lineage: Eukaryota; Viridiplantae; Streptophyta; Magnoliopsida; Poales; Poaceae.
AUGGAGAUGGAUUGCCUAGAGAUGGUGCAACUGUGGAGCAAUCGUCACAAUUCUCGUUCAAUUUUGGCCCCUAUUUUACUAGAAAUUGGAGAGCUACUUAGCAAUUUUUCGUUAUUUGAUGUACUUCAUGUAAAUCGCUUAGCAAACGUUCCGGCACAUCUGUGUGCCAAGCAUGCUUGCACGCUGAGUGUGACUGAGUGCUGGCUCGAUGAGACCCCUAGCUUCCUAUUGACCAACCUGUUGGCUGACUGGGAACGCCUUGAUUUAAUAAAGCUCUCUGAAUUAUCGCAAAAAAAAAGGUACAUGGGGUCCGCUCUCAGCGACUGGACCGGGAAGCAGGGGUGUGUGGCCUGGUUUUUGUGA